Molecule: ribosomal RNA, 253 nt
Filed under: uncultured bacterium
Lineage: Bacteria
Description: partial 16S ribosomal RNA
Rfam family: Bacterial small subunit ribosomal RNA
Source: RNAcentral
CACGUAGGGACCAAGCGUUGUCCGGAUUCAUUGGGCGUAAAGAGCUCGUAGGCGGCUCAGUAAGUCGGGUGUGAAACCUCCAGGCUCAACUGCGGGUCUGCAGCCGAUACGGGCAGGCUAGAGUUCGGUAGGGGAGACUGGAAUUCCUGGUGUAGCGGUGAAAUGCGCAGAUAUCAGGAGGAACACCGGUGGCGAAGGCGGGUCUCUGGGCCGAUACUGACGCUGAGGAGCGAAAGCGUGGGGAGCGAACAGG